GGGCGGAUAGCUCAGCUGGGAGAGCGCCGGCCUUACAAGCCGGAGGUCGUAGGUUCGAAACCUGCUCCGCCUA
Molecule: transfer RNA, 73 nt
Filed under: Thermodesulfobacteriota bacterium
Lineage: Bacteria; Pseudomonadati; Thermodesulfobacteriota
Description: tRNA-Val
Rfam family: tRNA
About the family: Transfer RNA (tRNA) molecules are approximately 80 nucleotides in length. Their secondary structure includes four short double-helical elements and three loops (D, anti-codon, and T loops).
Source: RNAcentral